RNAcentral lists this transfer RNA (88 nucleotides) under Oscillospiraceae bacterium. RNAcentral describes it as "tRNA-Ser". It matches the Rfam family "tRNA". From Rfam's summary of the family: Transfer RNA (tRNA) molecules are approximately 80 nucleotides in length. Lineage: Bacteria; Bacillati; Bacillota; Clostridia; Eubacteriales; Oscillospiraceae. The record is from RNAcentral.
GGAGAGAUGUCCGAGUGGCUUAAGGAGCACGAUUGGAAAUCGUGUAAAUUGUUAGAUUUCCGGGGUUCGAAUCCCCGUCUCUCCACCA